AGUGAACGCUGGCGGUAGGCCUAACACAUGCAAGUCGAACGGCAGCACAGUAAGAGCUUGCUCUUACGGGUGGCGAGUGGCGGACGGGUGAGGAAUACAUCGGAAUCUACUUUUUCGUGGGGGAUAACGUAGGGAAACUUACGCUAAUACCGCAUACGACCUACGGGUGAAAGCAGGGGAUCUUCGGACCUUGCGCGAUUGAAUGAGCCGAUGUCGGAUUAGCUGGUUGGCGGGGUAAAGGCCCACCAAGGCGACGAUCCGUAGCUGGUCUGAGAGGCUGGUCGGCCACACUGGAACUGAGACACGGUCAAGACUCCUACGGGACGCCGCAGUGGGGAAUAUUGGGCAAUGGGCGCAAGUCUGGUCCAGCCAUCCCGCGUCGGUGAAGACGGCCUUCGGGUUGUAAAGCCCUUUUGUUGGGAAAGAAACGCAGCAGGUUAAUACCCCGCUGUUCUGACGGUACCCAAAGAAUAAGCACCGGCUAACUUCGUG
RNAcentral lists this ribosomal RNA (492 nucleotides) under uncultured bacterium. RNAcentral describes it as "partial 16S ribosomal RNA". It matches the Rfam family "Bacterial small subunit ribosomal RNA", at positions 29 to 507 of the family's 1533-position model. The record is from RNAcentral.